UUAAAACCUGUUUUUGUUCAAAGUGCUUUAAAGAUAAGGUUUGUAAACAGCUCUGAUUUUAUUACAUGAAAAUAUCUCUAGAUGAUAUUUUCUUGUCCGAUCCUGGUCUCUGGUUUCCUCGUACAGAUCCUGGUCUCAGGUUUCCCCGUACAGAGACUGUCUGUCUCUCUGGGUCCUGACUCUCCCUGCAGCCUCUCCUCUGUUUACAGUACAGGUUGUAAUCUGGACGCGUUGCCGGGAAACCACCCGGCUGAACUUUUGUUCCGUUUGUUGUCCCGAUGACUGUAUCAGCAGGAGGAUUAGUCACGAGGAGCAGCAAAGCGCGCCAAACUCAGCAGCC
This is a non-coding RNA of Xyrichtys novacula (pearly razorfish), 340 nucleotides long. The record is from the annotation of a GenBank genome assembly. Lineage: Eukaryota; Metazoa; Chordata; Actinopteri; Labriformes; Labridae.